Molecule: ribosomal RNA, 484 nt
Filed under: uncultured bacterium
Lineage: Bacteria
Description: partial 16S ribosomal RNA
Rfam family: Bacterial small subunit ribosomal RNA
Source: RNAcentral
AUUGAACGCUGGCGGCAUGCUUUACACAUGCAAGUCGAACGGCAGCGCGGGCUUCGGCCUGGCGGCGAGUGGCGAACGGGUGAGUAAUACAUCGGAACGUGCCCAGUAGUGGGGGAUAGCUCGGCGAAAGCCGGAUUAAUACCGCAUACGACCUGAGGGUGAAAGCGGGGGAUCUUCGGACCUCGCGCUAUUGGAGCGGCCGAUGGCAGAUUAGCUAGUUGGUGGGGUAAAGGCCUACCAAGGCGACGAUCUGUAGCUGGUCUGAGAGGACGACCAGCCACAUUGGGACUGAGACACGGCCCAGACUCCUACGGGAGGCAGCAGUGGGGAAUUUUGGACAAUGGGCGAAAGCCUGAUCCAGCAAUGCCGCGUGUGUGAUGAAGGCCUUCGGGUUGUAAAGCACUUUUGGCGGGAACGAAAAGGACUGUGCCAAUACCACGGUUCGAUGACGGUACCCGCAGAAUAAGCACCGGCUAACUACGUG